CCUACGGGUGGCAGCAGUGAGGAAUAUUGGUCAAUGGACGCAAGUCUGAACCAGCCAUGCCGCGUGCAGGAAGACGGCUCUAUGAGUUGUAAACUGCUUUUGUACGAGGGUAAACGAAGAUACGAGUAUCUGUUUGAAAGUAUUGUACGAAUAAGGAUCGGCUAACUCCGUGCCAGCAGCCGCGGUAAUACGGAGGAUUCAAGCGUUAUCCGGAUUUAUUGGGUUUAAGGGGUGCGUAGGCGGUCUGAUAAGUUAGGGGUGAAAUCCCGAGGCUCAACUUCGGAAUUGCCUCUGAUACUGUUCGGCUAGAGAGUAGUUGCGGUAGGCGGAAUGUAUGGUGUAGCGGUGAAAUGCUUAGAGAUCAUACAGAACACCGAUUGCGAAGGCAGCUUACCAAGCUACUUCUGACGUUGAGGCACGAAAGCGUGGGGAGCAAACAGGAUUAGAUACCCGAGUAGUC
This 460-nucleotide ribosomal RNA is filed under the name uncultured bacterium. RNAcentral's name for it is "partial 16S ribosomal RNA". It matches the Rfam family "Bacterial small subunit ribosomal RNA", at positions 338 to 795 of the family's 1533-position model. The record is from RNAcentral.